GACGAACGCUGGCGGCGUGCUUAACACAUGCAAGUCGAACGGAAAGGCCCUGCUUUUGUGGGGUGCUCGAGUGGCGAACGGGUGAGUAACACGUGAGUAACCUGACCUUGACUUUGGGAUAACUUCAAGAAACUGGGGCUAAUACCGGAUAGGAGCUCCUGCUGCAUGGGGGGGGUUGGAGAGUUACGGCGGUGGGGGAGGGGCUCGCGGCUUACGAGCUGGUGGGUGGGGGAGUGGCUUACCAAGGCUUUGACGGGUAGCCGGCCGGACGGGGUGACCGGCCACCUUGGGACUGCGGUACGGCCCAGAAUCCUACGGGAGGCAGCAGUGGGGAAUAUUGCACAAUGGGCGGAAGCCGGAUGCAGCAGCGCCGCGUGCGGGAUGACGGCCUUCGGGUUGUAAACCGCUUCCGCCUGUGACGAAGCGUGAGUGACGGUAAUGGGUAAAGAAGCACCGGCUAACUACGUG
Molecule: ribosomal RNA, 468 nt
Filed under: uncultured bacterium
Lineage: Bacteria
Description: partial 16S ribosomal RNA
Rfam family: Bacterial small subunit ribosomal RNA
Source: RNAcentral